RNAcentral lists this ribosomal RNA (657 nucleotides) under Laceyella sacchari. RNAcentral's name for it is "bacterial SSU rRNA". It matches the Rfam family "Bacterial small subunit ribosomal RNA", at positions 372 to 1021 of the family's 1533-position model. The record is from RNAcentral. Lineage: Bacteria; Bacillati; Bacillota; Bacilli; Caryophanales; Thermoactinomycetaceae.
UGGGCGCAAGCCUGACGGAGCAACGCCGCGUGAGUGAGGACGGCCUUCGGGUUGUAAAACUCUGUUCUUGAGGAAGAACCCUUCCGAGGCGAAUAACCUCGGAAGUUGACGGUACUCAAGGAGAAAGCCCCGGCUAACUACGUGCCAGCAGCCGCGGUAAUACGUAGGGGGCGAGCGUUAUCCGGAAUUAUUGGGCGUAAAGCGCGCGCAGGCGGUCGAUUAAGUCAGGUGUGAAAGGCUGCGGCUCAACCGCAGAGCGGCACCUGAAACUGGUCGACUUGAGUGCAGGAGAGGGGAGUGGAAUUCCCGGUGUAGCGGUGGAAUGCGUAGAGAUCGGGAGGAACACCAGUGGCGAAGGCGGCUCUCUGGCCUGUAACUGACGCUGAGGCGCGAAAGCGUGGGGAGCAAACAGGAUUAGAUACCCUGGUAGUCCACGCCGUAAACGAUGAGUGCUAGGNUGUUGGGGGGUUCCCCCCCUCAGUGCCGAAGGUAACCCAUUAAGCACUCCGCCUGGGGAGUACGGCCGCAAGGCUGAAACUCAAAUGAAUUGACGGGGAAUCACUAGUGAAUUCGCGGCCGCCUGCAGGUCGACCAUAUGGGAGAGCUCCCAACGCGUUGGAUGCAUAGCUUGAGUAUUCUAUAGNGGNCNCCUAAAUA